CUCUUCGGAGCGAACCACCAUUUUUCACUUAUACAAACACAAAGUCUAUGAAUGUAAACAAAUUUAUAACAAAACAAAACUUUCAACAACGGAUCUCUUGGCUCUCGCAUCGAUGAAGAACGCAGCGAAAUGCGAUACGUAAUGUGAAUUGCAGAAUUCAGUGAAUCAUCGAAUCUUUGAACGCACCUUGCGCUCCUUGGUAUUCCGAGGAGCAUGCCUGUUUGAGUGUCAUGAAAUCUUCAACCCACCUCUUUCUUAGUGAAUCUGGUGGUGCUUGGUUUCUGAGCGCUGCUCUGCUUCGGCUUAACUCGUUCGUAAUGCAUUAGCAUCCGCAACCGAAACUUCGGAUUGACUUGGCGUAAUAGACUAUUCGCUGAGGAUUCCAGACUUGUUCUGGAGCCCAAUUUGGUUAAAGGAAGCCUCUAAUCCUAAAGUCUAUUUUUUGAUUAGAUCUCAAAUCAGGUAGGACUACCC
This 474-nucleotide ribosomal RNA is filed under the name Rhodotorula glutinis. RNAcentral's name for it is "eukaryotic LSU rRNA". The stretch from base 78 to 231 matches the Rfam family "5.8S ribosomal RNA". Lineage: Eukaryota; Fungi; Basidiomycota; Microbotryomycetes; Sporidiobolales; Sporidiobolaceae. The record is from RNAcentral.